GCGUGGGAUCUGCCCUUGGGUUCGGAAUAACAGUUGGAAUGACUGCUAAUACCGGAUGAUGACUUCGGACCAAAGAUUUAUCGCCCAGGGAUGAGCCCGCGUCGGAUUACCUAGUUGGUGAGGUAAAGGCUCACCAAGGCGACGAUCCGUAGCUGGUCUGAGAGGAUGAUCACCCACACUGGGACUGAAACACGGCCCAGACUCCUACGGGAGGCAGCAGUGGGGAAUAUUGGACAAUGGGCGAAAGCCUGAUCCAGCAAUGCCGCGUGAGUGAUGAAGGCCUUAGGGUUGUAAAGCUCUUUUACCCGGGAUGAUAAUGACAGUACCGGGAGAAUAAGCCCCGGCUAACUCCGUGCCAGCAGCCGCGGUAA
This 371-nucleotide ribosomal RNA is filed under the name uncultured Sphingomonas sp. RNAcentral describes it as "bacterial SSU rRNA". It matches the Rfam family "Bacterial small subunit ribosomal RNA", at positions 115 to 523 of the family's 1533-position model. The record is from RNAcentral. Lineage: Bacteria; Pseudomonadati; Pseudomonadota; Alphaproteobacteria; Sphingomonadales; Sphingomonadaceae.